Molecule: long non-coding RNA, 3073 nt
Filed under: Homo sapiens (human)
Lineage: Eukaryota; Metazoa; Chordata; Mammalia; Primates; Hominidae
Description: HSALNT0037061
Source: RNAcentral
CUGCAGCAUAAAAAGAGAAGCCUUUAGGAACCAUUAAUAUGCAUGCUGCCCAGAAGAAAAGCAGGUUCAUAAAUUUAUAGGUACUGUUGUCUGAGAAAAAAAACUAGAGGAAAGCAACCAGACCAGUAAUAAUUUACCAGCCCAGUAUCAACCUCAUGAUGGCAGUUUGCUUCCACUCUUUCAGGAUAUUUUUCCAACCUCUGAGACAAACACAAGUUACAUUAUUUAAACCUGCUUCCCUUAAAUUAUAAGAAUCAUGGCUCCCUUUUGGUUUUUAAGCUUGCUCAACCUAAGUGAGAUAAAGCUCCUCUUGUGUGGGCGGUCACUAUUCACUGUAAGGGAACUUAACCUGCACACUUACUAUUGCAGAGGACAGAGUUUUAAUGGAGACAAGAGGCAGAGAAGAAAAACUUACUGUAAAGGUGAAGUAUGAGAAAGUACUUAGAUACCAUCUAUUAACAGUUUACAUGAAUAUGCAUAUACACACAAAUAUGACUUGUCAAACAUUUAAAAAAGGAAACUUUCAUUAUUUUAAUUUAUGCCAUAAUAAUAUUCCCUGUUUUUUUGUUUUAGAAUCUAAAAAAUAAGUUUUAGAGUUGUAUUCUCAGCACAGGCAGUUUCUUCUAGAAGAAUAAAGUCAGUUUAAACGGGAAACUUUCAUUCUCCCAAUCAUCAGGAGUGAUUAUGUUUCUAGGCAACUGCUGGGGUUACUCUUAGCUAUGGCCCAUAAGGAAGAGCCCCAGCAGUGGCUGGAGCUAUAGUAAGUUAGUAAAGACCAUAGAUUCCAAGAAUACCACUGAUGGGAAAGCUCUUACAUUGCUUUUAUAAAUAUGUAAAUGGACCAUACUUUUUCCUUGUCUUUUUCACUCUUCCAACGUUAGCACUCCUCCUACUGUAUACAAGGCUUGGGUAUUUUAUUAAGGACCAUUUAAUGUACAUAGAGCAAAGGAAAACCUUGUUUAUGAUAUACCCAUAACAUUUACACUUGCUUGUACUUAAAGGACAUGCAUGGAAUAAAACAGCAGUAUUUGACAAAAUACAGAAAAGACCUAAGUUCUAGCUUCAACUGUAAGUAAGAAUGCUUUAUUACUUUCAGAUAUGCACAGUAGCUCAAACUCAUCAAAUUGUUAAGAUUCUAGCAAAUUACUUCAAUGACUAGAUAUGAAUCCCAUAUGAUGACAAAUUGCUUAUAAGCAAAUGGAUUUUUAAGAGCCUUAAGCAAUUAAGUAGCCUAAGCCAUAGGUAGUGUUUUUAUUGAACCUCAGCGGCUUGUACUAGAAGGUCUGGUGCACAGAGACCAACCUACUUGCCCAGAGGAGGAGCUUAUAGACUUAGGUGCUAAGUGACUUGCCCACGACCAUGCAGCCGCCAAUAGCACACAUGGUGCUUUCCUCUUCUCAUCAACAGUGCGAAGAUGGUCUUCAGCUCAAACUUCCCCAAUUUAUUCCAACUUCUAAAGCAGUAGUCUAAGGCACUAGGACAAGAAGCAGAUGAACAUGUAUAGCCAGUAUUGGGCCACCAUGCCCGUCCCACCUAGACUCAUACCUUGUCUCAUCCACUCGACCUCGUCCUCGGUGACAAAGCUGCACAAGGCUUUUGCCAUUGCCAGUCGUAUUGCUCCAGCCUGCGCUGACCUCCCGCCCCCUGAGACUGUGCAGGUCACGUCGUGCUUUCCCAGCCGGUCAACAAAGUGGAAAGGGAACAUCAGCUGUUCUCUAAAGCACAGCACAAGUAAAUGUGGUUACGUUUACUAUAAAGAUACAUAAUUAUGUAAACAACUGAAAUUCUGAAUAUUCAUAAAAACAAUAUUCUGCAUGCCACUGUUAUACUUUUCAUACUUCUCAAUCAAUCCAUUUUACCAAGAUAUAGAAACACUAACAUUUCUGACAUUUUGAAUGAUUUGCUGAGAGAUUAAGAUUUAUUUCUUUUGCUUGGGUAUAGCAACACACUCUUACUGUUUGCUGAUCCCCUUUAUCUCAGAAGAUCUUUUCAAAGCUUGAAAAUAAUCUCGUAAAGAAGUCUUACAGUUGGGGAACUCCAUUAAUCAACUGAAUUUAAUGUCUCUGGAUUGAAUGAUCAGAUAUAAAAUCAAUAGGCCUUUCCAAACAAUUAUCACAUGUCAUUUGGAUUCACUAAAUAAAGUCUACUAUAAGUGUAUCUGUAUAAUGUAUAAUGCUCAUCUUGAUAUGGUUAGUUUUUAAAGUUUCUAAAACUAUUUUCGACCUUGCACUUCCCUGACACCAAACACCUAUUCCCAAUAUUCUUAAAGUUCUCUAAAUCAUAGGGUCCUGCUACCUUCCUGGGGCCAGGUGACAUUCUACACAACCCCUGUCAGGCCUGCUCUUUCAGGGUCGGUCAGGGCCUACAAGAUCCUGGGGCAGGCACCACAGACAAAACACGGCCCUGGACUUUCUCCUGCUCAACUGAACAAGUAUUUGUUGAAUAUCAUUUUCACGCCAGGUAAGAUGUUCACCAUUACCUCUGUCAAGCACUUUGAUUUUGCUAUUUUGCCUUAAUAUCUUGCUACACUUUUAUGCAGAAAAGCUCACUUAUAUUGCGUUUGCUUUCUUUGAUGCUGUAGCUUCUAGACCCAAAAUCAAGUUUAUAUAACACAGUUAAGCUGAGAGACAGGUAUGGACAGGACAUUCAAGUGCUAUUCUUCAUACCACACUAGUAAAAUAAUCACAAGCAGAUGGGCAAAAGAUGACUUUCAAAAGCCAUAGCAAAUCGGAAUUUAUAACAAUACGAUGUAGGGAUGACAUAACUCCUACAACAACAAAAAACUCAUAAAUCUAUACUGUCUUUUUGAACAAAUGCUUCCAAGAAACCAAAUGAAAAGUAGCCAUAAGUUAUAAAAACAGUAUUAUAAGUAGUAUCUAUUAAUAUACUAUGAUAACUAAAGAAAAUUUAAGCUGAGCACCUAAAGUACAAGCUACUCAGGAGGCUGAGGUGGGAGGACUGCUUGAGCCCAGCAGCUUGAGUCCAGUCUGGGUCCAGAAGUUUGAGUCCAGCCUGGGUGACAUAAAGAGACCUUGUCUCUUAAAAAAAAAAAGUAAAUAUAAAAGAAAAUUUA